GUGGGGAAUAUUGCACAAUGGGGGAAACCCUGAUGCAGCCAUGCCGCGUGUGUGAAGAAGGCCUUUGGGUUGUAAAGCACUUUCAGUAUGGAGGAAGUGCAGUAUGUUAACAGCAUGCUGCAUUGACGUUACAUACAGAAGAAGCACCGGCUAACUCCGUGCCAGCAGCCGCGGUAAUACGGAGGGUGCGAGCGUUAAUCGGAAUAACUGGGCGUAAAGAGCUCGUAGGCGGUUUGUCAAGUCAGAUGUGAAAGCCCCGGGCUUAACCUGGGAACCGCAUUUGAAACUGACAGACUAGAGUACUGUAGAGGGAGGUAGAAUUCCAGGUGUAGCGGUGAAAUGCGUAGAUAUCUGGAGGAAUACCGGUGGCGAAGGCGGCCUCCUGGACAGAGACUGACGCUGAGGAGCGAAAGCGUGGGGAGCAAACAGG
This 430-nucleotide ribosomal RNA is filed under the name uncultured rumen bacterium. Its description in RNAcentral is "bacterial SSU rRNA". It matches the Rfam family "Bacterial small subunit ribosomal RNA", at positions 354 to 776 of the family's 1533-position model. The record is from RNAcentral.